AGGCAGUAAUGUUGACCAAAGCCAGGACGAGGAUACUCUCUACAGCCUGACAGGCAGAUUCUUGCUGUUCUGAGUCCUUGGAUGCAAGGAACGGAUGAUUCUCGUCUUUGACAAGAACAAGCACCAGAGAAGAAAAAGAAAUAUUUAAUUUCAGAGAGCCACAAGGGACCUUAGAAGUCCUCUGUGUAGCCAAAGACUUUCAAGUGGUGUGAUUCAUGUCUACCAGCUGUCGGGGUGCAGAGGCUUCUUUGAUUUCACUUCCCAUGGAGCCCCAGCACCACACCAAGUGCCUAGAGCAUAGCAGACCCCAGUAAUAACAAGGAUGCAGGAAAAAAAGUCUGGUGCUCGCUUUGAGACAUUACAAUCAGAUGCAGCAUUCUCUCUGGUGUCCGUGUCUGUUUUGUCAUCUGCCAACUCCUUGCUCACCUGACCGGUAUCCUGGUUCCCCACCGGUUGUACGACCGACUGAGUCUAUCUGUGGCAUGUAAGGAAGAUGAAGUUUACCUUAGUAAGGACUGACCAUGAAUCAAGAGUUUCUUACUUAUCAGUGGCUAUGAGGGUGCAAAUCUCAGAGCCUGUAAACAGUUCCUGCCUACUCUGUCCACUGCUGUCACCCCACUCUUUCUCCACUAUACUACACAAAGAAGCUCAGCAGGUGUGUGGCAGAUG
RNAcentral lists this long non-coding RNA (669 nucleotides) under Mus musculus (house mouse). RNAcentral describes it as "lincRNA-EC277". The record is from RNAcentral. Lineage: Eukaryota; Metazoa; Chordata; Mammalia; Rodentia; Muridae.